UUUAGUGGUCGAGGCUCUGGAUUGACGGAACCUGGCGUGAAACCAACUGACCCGCAGGACGUCUUCUAGAGGUGUGCCAGGCCCCCCUCCCAGCACCACCCACCAUAGGUGCCCAUGGAGAUCUCCGGACUGAAAUAUUCAUCCUUGUUUGCUCGCCCAGACAGUGUGGUCCUUAAUUGCAGCAUCAGAAAAAGCUCCACCUCUCUCUCCCUCUCUCGUCUGGCUCGGCUGCAGCGGAGACAAGACCUCAUCUGGGAGCCAGGAAGCCAUGUCAGUGCAUCCUGUCAUCGCUCCGUCACGCUCUCCGUGCUCCUGUAGCUCGUCUUCAUCAGGCCUCGUCCCGUCCCGCGCGUGUUGGAGUCCACCACUGAUCCCUCUGUCCGUCGAUCUGUCGGCCCACAGGGUGUUAAGUGUGUGAGCGAGGCUCUGGAGUUUUGUCAUCAGUUCCUGUGCCAACCCCGAGCCCCCGCGCCCGGCCAAGCCGAGCCAUCUUGUGGGAAUUUUUUGGCUUUUAAUUAUAGUAAGAGAGAGGAUUCAUUAUGGCAGUGGAAACAAGGGGGGCCAUGCAUUAUUGAUGCGAUGAGUGAAGGGCUGGAGGGGGUAGAGGGCUGCUAAUUAAAUCACUGCCCCUACCACUGCCAUGUCCUCCUCCGUCGCUGCCUCCACCACCAUGUCUUCCACCUGCUACAUCUCCAGCAACACCCCCCAACCACCACCCUACUUUAUACCCGUCGCACCCACCCACUCAUCUCUACAACAGCACACAGUCCAACAAACAACCCGUUCCCACGCUGUCAUUCCUCACAUUCAUCUUUGUUUCUCUCUCUGCUCCUUGAUUUUUUUUCCCCCAACCCGGUCCUGCUUCUUUUCAAUUCUAAGUUCAAGAACAUCGUUCACUCCCUCACCUCGUCAGGUGUUCAGUGUUUUCUUCUCCUUCCACGGUCUUGUCCAUGUGGAGGGAUUUGUAUUCUCUGUCUUCAUAUUAUCUCAGUUUGCAUCCUGAACACAUCCUGUGAUUAGGAGUGAUUUAUCCAUCUUCAUGUCCAUCACUGACAGGUUUGAAAUUUGAUCUCAUCCUUAAAUGAACCACUCAGUUUCAAUUUGAAGAUCUCACCGGUCAACCAUUUUUUUUAAAAGAGCCAAAUGUGACAAAAUGCUGCCAUCUACUGGAAUUUAUGUAGAACUGCAAUGAUUAUCGUGCUUCUGGUAAUAAGGGUUUCCUCUCAUUGUGCUUAAUCCAAAAAUACAUCUGGUUUUGAAAACACAGAAUUCAAUUCAAAUAACUUUAUUCACCCGUUAACAAAACUUACUUUGUGUAAGAGCAUCAGUGUGCGUAUCGUAAACACAUAUAUUGCAUCAACAUACAGUACAACGUCCAGACAGCAAUAGACAGUUGAGCAAACAGCUUACACCUGUAAAAAAAAAAAAAAGGAACUAAACAAUAUAAAGUUAUAACGCAAAAGUGAGCAAAAUGAAAAGCAAAAAACUACCCAGCAAAUGUAUUGUUGGAAAACAUUGAGUUAAAUAUUUUAUGAGAAAAGAUGGAAAUUGAUGGUGAUGGGUUCAAAACCAGACAAGUCCCCACUCAUAUCUUAAGGAUUCAAUCUUGUUCUGUAGUUGAGAGACUGAAAACUUAUAUUCACACUAAAUGUUAUAAUAUUAGAUGUUAGUUGAUCACUUUGCGGGGGACAAGGUCUCCAGACUAAACUAUCUGUUGUUUCACUAACCUUUUUCCCCCCUUUCCCAUGAAACCUUGAAUUAUCUUUUUAAAGAUGAUUAUGUAUCUUCUCUCUUGAUUACCGUGAUUCUAUGUCUGAUUUCUCCGGGACGAUCCCGUCGUCAUUCCCUGUGUUUUCCUAAGACCUUCCAGACGGAUAUUGGUUCCUGGGUGUGCGAUUGUUGCAACGAUAACAGUACAGCUGAAGAGCUAAUCCCCUUUUUUGUUCAUUUGCUUAAUAUUGUUUUUCAUAUUUUCACACCAUUUAAUUUACCUCUGUGUAAAGUGCAGCAGCAGAGACGACGUCACACAUCCAUGCGGCUGAAACAUGAGCAGUAUGUUCAUAUUGAUAACUCUGGUGUGCAAAUGAAUCAAUAAAAGAACAGUGCAUAAACCAAAGAGAGAAAAGUUAAACGUUAAACAAAAUGUUAAUAACUAAAGAGGCUAAGAACAAAUUGGGGCAAAGUAAAGGAUCAUGCAAAGAACUCACAAAGUUUCCGUAGCUGGGUUGUGACCACGAACAGCCGGCGACGGUUUCCAUGGCAGCGCCAUCCUAAGGUGUAAUCACACCAGCGGGACAGCAGAUGGUGCCGUCGCAUCCUUUAUCACGAAAUCAAACAAACACUGCAGCACAAGUUAUGGAUGACACCAGAGCAGCUUCCCCAGGUGCAGUUAUCUGUGGCUGCUCAUGCCAACAGUACUUAUUGUGUCAUGGAGGGUUAGAUAACCGGAUCGGGGGGCUGGAGGGGGGGUGGGUGAGAUCAGGUGAGAUCAGGUGAGGUGUUGACUGACAUGCGACUCUUCUUUUUCGUGUUUCCUCAGCAGAAUUAAUAGUGCACCUGCUGGGACGGGCACAAAGCCUCUCUGUGAUCCUGAUUAAUCCCCGGUGAGGGUAUCGGCUUAUUGCAGCCAGAGCUGCUGGCAGGUGGAUAUAUUCAUUACAUUAGAUUCUCCCAUUUGUUUUGUUUUUUCUCCUCUUGUUUUACAGUAUUCAGAGUACAUACAUUCAUGCAUUUGG
Molecule: long non-coding RNA, 2735 nt
Organism: Scophthalmus maximus (turbot)
Lineage: Eukaryota; Metazoa; Chordata; Actinopteri; Pleuronectiformes; Scophthalmidae
Exons: 3
Source: RefSeq, a predicted model, not a curated record